UGCCAUCGCGUUUGUCAAGGCUGCUUCCAGUGCAUAAGUUAUUGCCGUUUUUUACAAUGGAAGACGGUCUGUUACCGCUAUGGCAGAUCAAUCCCCCCCGUAACUUUGGCUUCUUUCUGAAGUCGAGGUUGACUUGCUUUCGUUUUGAAGGCAUCGUCGCAAAGGGCAUGGUGUGUCUUGUUUUGAGUUGAGUCCCGCUUCCACCUCAUCGUGGACAUAAUAGCUGUUCUCUUAGUAACAUUUCAUAUAUCU
Trichophyton benhamiae CBS 112371 is the source of this 252-nucleotide non-coding RNA. Lineage: Eukaryota; Fungi; Ascomycota; Eurotiomycetes; Onygenales; Arthrodermataceae. The record is from Rfam.